RNAcentral lists this ribosomal RNA (301 nucleotides) under uncultured bacterium. Its description in RNAcentral is "partial 16S ribosomal RNA". It matches the Rfam family "Bacterial small subunit ribosomal RNA", at positions 509 to 808 of the family's 1533-position model. The record is from RNAcentral.
CAGCGCCGCGGUAAUACGUAGGGUGCGAGCGUUAAUCGGAAUUACUGGGCGUAAAGCGUGCGCAGGCGGUUAUAUAAGACAGAUGUGAAAUCCCCGGGCUCAACCUGGGACCUGCAUUUGUGACUGUAUAGCUAGAGUACGGUAGAGGGGGAUGGAAUUCCGCGUGUAGCAGUGAAAUGCGUAGAUAUGCGGAGGAACACCGCUGGCGAAGGCAAUCCCCUGGACCUGUACUGACGCUCAUGCACGAAAGCGUGGGGAGCAAACAGGAUUAGAUACCCGGGUAGUCCCUGUCUCUUAUACA